ACGCUCGACACCUACGAGAGGCAGCAGUGGGGAAUAUUGCACAAUGGGGGAAACCCUGAUGCAGCGACGCCGCGUGAGCGAAGAAGUAUUUCGGUAUGUAAAGCUCUAUCAGCAGGGAAGAAACUGACGGUACCUGACCAAGAAGCACCGGCUAAAUACGUGCAGCAGCCGCGGUAAUCUGAGGCGGGCUGGCAAGGC
This 198-nucleotide ribosomal RNA is filed under the name uncultured bacterium. Its description in RNAcentral is "partial 16S ribosomal RNA". It matches the Rfam family "Bacterial small subunit ribosomal RNA", at positions 328 to 539 of the family's 1533-position model. The record is from RNAcentral.